UGGGGAAUCUUGCACAAUGGAGGAAACUCUGAUGCAGCGACGCCGCGUGAGCGAAGAAGCCUUUCGGGGUGUAAAGCUCUUACGCCAGGGACGAUAAUGACGGUACCUGGAGAAGCAGCUGCGGCUAACUACGUGCCAGCAGCCGCGGUAAUACGUAGGCAGCAAGCGUUGUUCGGAAUUACUGGGCGUAAAGGGUGCGUAGGCGGCGCUCUAAGUUUGGUGUGAAAUCUCCCGGCUUAACUGGGAGGGUGCACUGAAAACUGGGGCGCUCGAGUAUGGGAGAGGAAAGCGGAAUUCCUGGUGUAGCGGUGAAAUGCGUAGAGAUCAGGAGGAACACCUGCGGUGCAGACGGCUUUCUGGACCAUCACUGACGCUGAGGCACGAAAGCGUGGGUAGCAAACG
Molecule: ribosomal RNA, 402 nt
Filed under: uncultured bacterium
Lineage: Bacteria
Description: bacterial SSU rRNA
Rfam family: Bacterial small subunit ribosomal RNA
Source: RNAcentral